RNAcentral lists this long non-coding RNA (367 nucleotides) under Monodelphis domestica (gray short-tailed opossum). RNAcentral describes it as "lncRNA (ENSMODG00000049078.1)". Lineage: Eukaryota; Metazoa; Chordata; Mammalia; Didelphimorphia; Didelphidae. The record is from RNAcentral.
CUCAUCAAGCCCUUAGUGAUGUUGAACAGUACCUGUUAGGUACUUAUGCUAUUCAAGAAGACAUAUCUCUCCUGUUUGAAAGGGUAGUUAUGGCCAACAGUAGAAAGACACUUUGCCAGUAUAAUUAUGCCAAUUAUCCAAAAGAUCAAUUUAAUUUACUAUAAAGGUAUUUCUAGCAAGUGUCCUUUUUUUCUUCUUUCUUUCUUUCUUUCUUUCUUUCUUUCUUUCUUUCUUUCUUUCUUUUCUUUCUUUUCUUUCUUUCUUUUCUUUCUUUCUUUCUUUUUCUUUCCUUUCUGUCUUCCUCCCUUCCAUUCCCUGCAUCUUUUUUCUUCAUUUCUUCCUCCUUUCCUUCUAUUUCUUUCUUUCU